AAAACCUUUUGGCAAACCUGGAGAAAUCCAGCGACGCAAAGCUAACAGGGCCUGUAAAAUGGCAGCCAGCUGCACAG
Regulatory RNA element from Acidaminococcus fermentans DSM 20731, 77 nucleotides. It matches the Rfam family "c-di-GMP-I riboswitch aptamer". Rfam says of the family: GEMM was predicted in a large-scale screen for bacterial structured RNA regulatory elements. Genes associated with GEMM are involved in a diverse array of functions, including chemotaxis regulation, signal transduction, secretion and chitin. NCBI's taxonomy places the organism in Bacteria, Bacillati, Bacillota, Negativicutes, Acidaminococcales, Acidaminococcaceae. The record is from Rfam.